UACGGGGGGGGCAAGCGUUGUUCGGAAUUACUGGGCGUAAAGGGCUCGUAGGCGGCCAACUAAGUCAGACGUGAAAUCCCCAGGCUCAACCUGGGAACUGCGUCCGAUACUGGCAGGCUUGAAUCCGGGAGAGGGAUGUGGAAUUCCAGGUGUAGCGGUGAAAUGCGUAGAUAUCUGGAGGAACACCGGUGGCGAAGGCGGCAUCCUGGACCGGUAUUGACGCUGAGGCGCGAAAGCCAGGGGAGCAAACGGG
Molecule: ribosomal RNA, 253 nt
Filed under: uncultured bacterium
Lineage: Bacteria
Description: partial 16S ribosomal RNA
Rfam family: Bacterial small subunit ribosomal RNA
Source: RNAcentral